GAUUAAGUUCGUGAAUCCAGACAAUGGCGUUUUUGAGAAGCAGUCUAGUUUUUGUUGCAGCUUUGGUGAUGGCAGCUUUGACCAUCAUCCAGGCUACGCCUGACCCUGAACCUGACUGCUACGAACCCCCUUGCGUAUAGCUGCAGCUCAGUCCGCCGGUGGACUAUGAAUCCUGGUAUAUCUUAGGAUCUGAAAAAUGAGAAUCAUCAGAAUGGGCUACUUUCCCAGACAUACUGCUUCGGCAAGAAAAAACUUAUUCUAUAACCUUUACAAAUAAUUACUUAAUCCCAUGUUAACCAUGAUUUUAUGUAAAGUUUUCUUCUCAAACGUUUUCGAAAUAUGCAGUAAUAAAAACCUCUUAGUUGCUUGCAUAAAA
Long non-coding RNA from Stegodyphus dumicola, 376 nucleotides. RefSeq lists it as uncharacterized. The record is from RefSeq and is a predicted model, not a curated record. NCBI's taxonomy places the organism in Eukaryota, Metazoa, Arthropoda, Arachnida, Araneae, Eresidae.